CAGACAGUAGCUCAGUUGGAAGAGCCCGGACCCACAUCCGGAGGUCAUUGGUUCGAGUCCAAUCUGUCUGA
This 71-nucleotide transfer RNA is filed under the name Prevotella sp. Its description in RNAcentral is "tRNA-Trp". It matches the Rfam family "tRNA". From Rfam's summary of the family: Transfer RNA (tRNA) molecules are approximately 80 nucleotides in length. Their secondary structure includes four short double-helical elements and three loops (D, anti-codon, and T loops). Lineage: Bacteria; Pseudomonadati; Bacteroidota; Bacteroidia; Bacteroidales; Prevotellaceae. The record is from RNAcentral.